This 227-nucleotide ribosomal RNA is filed under the name uncultured bacterium. RNAcentral's name for it is "partial 16S ribosomal RNA". It matches the Rfam family "Bacterial small subunit ribosomal RNA", at positions 28 to 240 of the family's 1533-position model. The record is from RNAcentral.
GAUGAACGCUAGCGACAGGCUUAACACAUGCAAGUCGAGGGGCAGCAUGAUUUGUAGCAAUACAGAUUGAUGGCGACCGGCGCACGGGUGAGUAACCCGUAUGCAACUUACCUAUCGAGAGGGGGAUAGCCCGGCGAAAGUCGGAUUAAUACCCCAUAAAACAGGGGUCCCGCAAGUGGGGAACUAGUUUGUAAAGAUUCAUCGCUGAUAGAUAGGCAUGCGUUCCA